Ribosomal RNA from Cryptomeria japonica (Japanese cedar), 154 nucleotides. RefSeq annotates it as 5.8S ribosomal RNA. The transcript has a single exon. NCBI's taxonomy places the organism in Eukaryota, Viridiplantae, Streptophyta, Pinopsida, Cupressales, Cupressaceae. The record is from RefSeq and is a predicted model, not a curated record.
GACUCUCGACAAUGGAUAUCUCAGCUCUCGCCACGAUGAAGAAUGUAGUGAAAUGCAAUACUUAGUGUGAAUUUCAAAAUCUCGUGAAUCAUCGAGUCUUUGACCGCAACUUGCACCUGAGGCCUCGGCCGAGGGAAUGUCUGCAUAGGCGUCG